AAGGGGUGGGCAAGUUCUGGUGUCAGCCGCCGCGGUAAAACCAGCACCUCGAGUGGUCAGGAGGUUUAUUGGGCCUAAAGCAUCCGUAGCCGGUUGCAUAAGUUUUCGGUUAAAUCUAUGCGCUUAACGUAUAGGCCGCCGAAAAUACUGUGCAGCUAGGGAGUGGGAGAGGUACACGGUACUCGAUAGGAAGGGGUAAAAUCCUUUGAUCUAUUGAUGACCACCUGUGGCGAAGGCGGUGUACCAGAACACGUUCGACGGUGAGGGAUGAAAGCUGGGGGAGCAAACCGGAUUAGAUACCCGGGUAGUCCCAGCUGUAAACGAUGCAGACUCGGUGAUGCAUUGGCUUGUGGCCAAUGCAGUGCCGCAGGGAAGCCGUUAAGUCUGCCGCCUGGGAAGUACGUACGCAAGUAUGAAACUUANNGGAAUUGGCGGGGGAGCACCACAAGGGGUGAAGCCUGCGGUUCAAUUGGAGUCAACGCCAGAAAUCUUACCUGGGGAGACAGCAGAAUGAAGGUCAAGCUGAAGACUUUACCAGACACGCUGAGAGGUGGUGCAUGGCCGUCGCCAGCUCGUGCCGUGAGAUGUCCUGUUAAGUCAGGUAACGAGCGAGACCCCUGCGUCUAGUUGCUACCAUUACUCUCUG
RNAcentral lists this ribosomal RNA (646 nucleotides) under uncultured archaeon. RNAcentral's name for it is "bacterial SSU rRNA". It matches the Rfam family "Archaeal small subunit ribosomal RNA", at positions 437 to 1082 of the family's 1478-position model. The record is from RNAcentral.